RNAcentral lists this non-coding RNA (21 nucleotides) under Arabidopsis thaliana (thale cress). RNAcentral also lists the same sequence under 1 other name. The record is from RNAcentral. Lineage: Eukaryota; Viridiplantae; Streptophyta; Magnoliopsida; Brassicales; Brassicaceae.
AGCAGGACGGUGGUCAUGGAA